This 120-nucleotide small RNA is filed under the name Pseudomonas sp. Its description in RNAcentral is "Manganese sequence". It matches the Rfam family "Manganese Mn2+ riboswitch aptamer (yybP-ykoY)". Rfam says of the family: This RNA was originally discovered in E. coli during a large scale screen and was named SraF. The family was later found to exist upstream of related families of protein genes in many bacteria, including the the yybP and ykoK genes in B. subtilis. The record is from RNAcentral. Lineage: Bacteria; Pseudomonadati; Pseudomonadota; Gammaproteobacteria; Pseudomonadales; Pseudomonadaceae.
CGCCCCGUCCUAGGGGAGUAGUCUCCCGCGAGCGCCCUGCUCGCCCGGUCCGCGUCAACACACUUGGUCCACAGACCAUGGCGCGGACGACCCCGAGCCUGCACAGACAGGCCAGCGGUU